UUCUUUUCCUCUCACCAAACGGAAUAUAAAGGUCGCCCUCUUACGACUUCCGAGUUCCAAACCCCACUAGUGUCGUUCAAAUGCCACCCAAACCGGUGAAGGAACCACCCGCCGCGGUGGUGGCCCUGAGCGACAGCGACGGAGAGGACGCCGACACCGGCGUUAGCAUCGGGAACAGCGAAGCUUCCUCCGACAAAGCAGCCUCGGGGACCGGAGGACCUCUCAUGGGGCAACCGGAACUGCAGAGCUCCGCUGCAACAACCCCCGUCUCCGACCACCAACAGCACCAAUCCUUCGAGUCUCGAAGCUUCUGGAAGGCCGGCGAUUACGCCGUCGAUCCCUCCGCCAGGCCCACUCUUCUUCCCCACGAGCAAUUGGAACAUGCGCGUGUUCAUCCAAAGUUUCUUCAUUCCAAUGCGACUUCGCAUAAGUGGGCUUUUGGAGCCAUAGCUGAACUCUUGGAUAAUGCAAUUGACGAGAUACACAAUGGUGCAACUUUUGUGAAGGUUGAUAAAAUUGACGUUAUGAAGGAUAGUUCUCCAGCUUUACUCUUCCAAGAUGAUGGUGGUGGAAUGGAUCCACAAGGAAUUCGGAAAUGCAUGAGCUUAGGCUACUCUACAAAGAAGACAAACACGACUAUUGGGCAAUAUGGUAAUGGAUUUAAGACAAGUACCAUGCGGCUCGGUGCUGAUGUUAUUGUUUUCACUCGUGCGAAUUGUAAAGGCCAAGCUACUCAGAGUGUUGGUCUCUUGUCUUACACUUACUUGCGGAAAACUGGGUUGGACGAUGUUAUUGUUCCAAUGAUUGAUUUUGACAUUUCUUCCCACUGGGCAGAGCCUAUAAUUUAUGGUUCACAUGAUGAUUGGUCUUCUGAUUUGAAGACAAUCCUUGAGUGGUCUCCCUUUACGUCAAAAGAGGAGCUCAUGCUACAGUUUGAUGAUAUUGGAGCCCAUGGAACAAAAGUAAUAAUAUACAAUCUAUGGCUGAAUGAUGAAGGAAUAUAUGAGUUGAGUUUUGAUGAUGAUGAUGAGGAUAUACGGUUGAGAGACGAAGCUAAUUGUGCAAGUUCUUCAACUAAAUUUAGCAGGAAACAAGUUGAAUUACAGUCCCAUAUCUCUUACCGCAUCCGAUAUUCGUUAAGGGCAUAUGCCUCGAUGUUGUACCUCAAAAAGUUUAAAAACUUCAGUAUAAUACUAAGGGGAAAACCUGUGGAACAAUAUAAUAUAGCAGAUGAGUUGCAACAUGCUGUGAUUGUAAAAUACAAGCCCCAGCUAGCUACAACCUCUAAAGAGAUUACUGUGGAAACAAAACUUGGGUUUAUAAAAGAAGCACCUGCUAUUCUUGGAGUUAAUGGAUUCAAUGUCUACCUUAAGAAUCGCCUCAUCAAGCCAUUCUGGAAAGUCAUUGCUGACGGUUCUUCCAAAGGGAGUGGUGUUGUUGGAGUUCUUGAAGCAAACUUUUUAGAGCCGGCACAUGACAAGCAAGAUUUUGAGAGAUCACCAUUGUCUAUCCGGCUCGAAACUAAGCUGAAACAAAUGGUAACUGAAUAUUGGAAUAAACACUGUCACUUCAUGGGAUAUCAGACUCCUGGCACUAAGAAGCAAAAGAAUGAUCCUGUGCAGUCUCCUGUUCAAAUUGCAGCUAAUACUAGGAAGCAGUUGUCAGCCAAUCAACAUAACGCUGGUGUUUCAGGUGCUGUCCCAGGACACACGCAUCUGAAUCAAAGUAAUAGCGAACCAUGCAGAAGUGGCAAAAGACCUGACUUUCAUAGAGAUUUUUCUGCUGGAUCCUAUGAAGCAGUUAGCUUAGUGGUUCCCAUAGAUGAUGAAGAACCCUUAUCCGUUGAUCAGAUUUGCAAAGAAAACAUACAACUUCACGUGAGGUGCGAUGCAUAUGUAAUAAAACAGAGUGAGUUAAAACAAACGAUUGUCGGUUUAGAGAGACGGUUGGAGGAAUCAAAAAAGAAGUACGCUCAAGUUGCUACCUACUUGGAGAAUACAAAAAAGCAGAAUAGUUCCAACGUUUGAUGAGGCACAACUACAUACAUCCUGAACCGUUUCAUUGAUGUUCUUUUCCAAAUUGCGCUUUGAGAUUCUCUAUGAAAGUUUACUGUAGGGUUGCUUAUCAAGAUGUUUGUCUUCAUCAUGAGCUUUUGGACCUCGGUUAUUCUCUGUAAAAUUGCAUCUUGGAUAUCCGUGGGACCAUCUUACAAUGUAGUACCAAACAAAUUAGUUGUUUUUUAAUUGUAUUUUUCGUAGAUCGCAUAGUGACAACUAACAGCACAAUAGGAAAUGUAACAUACAUCUCUCUCUCUCUCUCUCUCUCUCUCUCUCUCUCCAUCUUCAGUUCUUGUUUUGUAAUUUUUGCCUCAAUUUUUUUACUUAUUUAACUAUCUUUUGUUUGAACAAGUUAAUG
Morus notabilis is the source of this 2415-nucleotide RNA transcript. It is a transcript of the gene named protein MICRORCHIDIA 2, with no coding region annotated. The record is from RefSeq and is a predicted model, not a curated record. NCBI's taxonomy places the organism in Eukaryota, Viridiplantae, Streptophyta, Magnoliopsida, Rosales, Moraceae. The transcript has 19 exons.